Long non-coding RNA from Musca domestica (house fly), 545 nucleotides. RefSeq lists it as uncharacterized. Lineage: Eukaryota; Metazoa; Arthropoda; Insecta; Diptera; Muscidae. The record is from RefSeq and is a predicted model, not a curated record. The transcript is spliced from 2 exons.
UUUUUCUCGAAAUUUAUGAUUAUUAACUCUUUUUUUCUUUUCUUUUAGUUCCAAAAAAAGGAGACAGCAAAUUUUAUGGACGUCACAUAUAUAUAUAUAAAUAUAUCAAGGACAACACAACGUUUACGCUUCUUUCCGGAGGAAACAGAUUUUGAACGCCAGGCAAACCCUCAAAUGAAGCUGGACUUGUUGACUGGUCCUUUUACAAUGCCGGCGUUCUGGGCGGGAUCAAUAACCGGCACAGCAAAAAGCUCAAAGUUGCAGCUGGCCAGUUUACAAUUCAAAUCUCCACACCCUCAAUGUAACUUUUUUGGCUUUUUUUUCCUGUGGACAACUUGCCACUACCUUGCGUUACCAAAAAGAAAAGGCAAUUUCCCGCCGUUGUGCUGACCAAAACCGGACAAUUUUCGGUGCUUCCAAAAAAGGCUUGAUACACCACCGGAAUAUUCCUGUUGGAGCAACACACAUCACAUAUAACAACACAAUACUCAACAAACCACUGUUACAAACUACUUACACAAUAAAAAAAAAUCGCAACACACAAA